AGAGUUUGAUCCUGGCUCAGGAUGAACGCUAGCGGGAGGCUUAACACAUGCAAGUCGAGGGGUAAGGAGAUAGCAAUAUUUCCCUAGACCGGCGCACGGGUGAGUAACGCGUAUGCAACCUGCCCUUUACAGGGGGAUAGCCCGGAGAAAUCCGGAUUAAUACCCCAUGGAUCUGCAGUACCGCAUGGUACAACAGAUAAAGCUGAGGCGGUAAAGGAUGGGCAUGCGUGACAUUAGCUAGUUGGUAAGGUAACGGCUUACCAAGGCUACGAUGUCUAGGGGUUCUGAGAGGAAGGUCCCCCACACUGGUACUGAGACACGGACCAGACUCCUACGGGAGGCAGCAGUGAGGAAUAUUGGUCAAUGGGCGCGAGCCUGAACCAGCCAUCCCGCGUGCAGGAAGAAGGCCCUAUGGGUUGUAAACUGCUUUUGUGCAGGAAUAA
Molecule: ribosomal RNA, 443 nt
Filed under: uncultured bacterium
Lineage: Bacteria
Description: bacterial SSU rRNA
Rfam family: Bacterial small subunit ribosomal RNA
Source: RNAcentral